AAAUUGAAGAGUUUGAUCAUGGCUCAGAUUGAACGCUGGCGGCAGGCCUAACACAUGCAAGUCGAACGGUAACAGGAAGAAGCUUGCUUCUUUGCUGACGAGUGGCGGACGGGUGAGUAAUGUCUGGGAAACUGCCUGAUGGAGGGGGAUAACUACUGGAAACGGUAGCUAAUACCGCAUAACGUCGCAAGACCAAAGAGGGGGACCUUCGGGCCUCUUGCCAUCGGAUGUGCCCAGAUGGGAUUAGCUAGUAGGUGGGGUAACGGCUCACCUAGGCGACGAUCCCUAGCUGGUCUGAGAGGAUAACCAGCCACACUGGAACUGAGACACGGUCCAGACUCCUACGGGAGGCAGCAGUGGGGAAUAUUGCACAAUGGGCGCAAGCCUGAUGCAGCCAUGC
RNAcentral lists this ribosomal RNA (400 nucleotides) under Escherichia coli. RNAcentral describes it as "bacterial SSU rRNA". It matches the Rfam family "Bacterial small subunit ribosomal RNA", at positions 1 to 397 of the family's 1533-position model. Lineage: Bacteria; Pseudomonadati; Pseudomonadota; Gammaproteobacteria; Enterobacterales; Enterobacteriaceae. The record is from RNAcentral.